Molecule: microRNA, 22 nt
Filed under: Sarcophilus harrisii (Tasmanian devil)
Lineage: Eukaryota; Metazoa; Chordata; Mammalia; Dasyuromorphia; Dasyuridae
Also listed under: 1 other name
Description: Sha-Mir-7262-P2_3p (mature (guide))
Source: RNAcentral
AAACUGGACCAAGGCUUUUGGG